UUAGAGUUUGAUCCUGGCUCAGAAUCAACGCUGGCGGCGUGCCUCAGACAUGCAAGUCGAACGGUUAAGACUCCCUUCGGGGAGUGUAUAAAGUGGCGCACGGGUGAGUAACACGUGGGUAAUCUACCUCCGGGUGGGGGAUAACCUGCCGAAAGGUGGGCUAAUACCGCAUAAUGCAGCGGCACCGAAUGGUGACAGUUGUUAAAGGAGCAAUCCGCCUGGAGAGGAGCCUGCGGCCGAUUAGCUAGUUGGUAGGGUAAUGGCCUACCAAGGCGACGAUCGGUAGCCGGCCUGAGAGGGCGGUCGGCCACACUGGCACUGAAACACGGGCCAGACUCCUACGGGAGGCAGCAGUCGGGAAUUUUGGGCAAUGGGCGAAAGCCUGACCCAGCAACGCCGCGUGAGGGAUGAAGUCCUUCGGGAUGUAAACCUCGUAAGCAUGGGAAGAAUAAAUGACGGUACCAUGCGUAAGCCCCGGCUAACUACGUGCCAGCAGCCGCGGUAAUACGUAGGGGGCAAGCGUUGUUCGGAUUUACUGGGCGUAAAGCGCGUGUAGGCGGUGCGUUAAGUCAGCCGUGAAAGCCCUAAGCUUAACUUAGGAAAGCCGGUUGAUACUGACGCACUAGAGUGUAGAAGAGGCAACUGGGAAUUCUCGGUGUAGCGGUGAAAUG
RNAcentral lists this ribosomal RNA (671 nucleotides) under uncultured Acidobacteriota bacterium. RNAcentral's name for it is "bacterial SSU rRNA". It matches the Rfam family "Bacterial small subunit ribosomal RNA", at positions 1 to 688 of the family's 1533-position model. The record is from RNAcentral. Lineage: Bacteria; Pseudomonadati; Acidobacteriota.